This 72-nucleotide transfer RNA is filed under the name Ictidomys tridecemlineatus (thirteen-lined ground squirrel). Its description in RNAcentral is "Spermophilus tridecemlineatus (thirteen-lined ground squirrel) tRNA". It matches the Rfam family "tRNA". From Rfam's summary of the family: Transfer RNA (tRNA) molecules are approximately 80 nucleotides in length. Their secondary structure includes four short double-helical elements and three loops (D, anti-codon, and T loops). Further hydrogen bonds mediate the characteristic L-shaped molecular structure. tRNAs have two regions of fundamental functional importance: the anti-codon, which is responsible for specific mRNA codon recognition, and the 3' end, to which the tRNAs corresponding amino acid is attached (by aminoacyl-tRNA synthetases). tRNAs cope with the degeneracy of the genetic code in two manners: having more than one tRNA (with a specific anti-codon) for a particular amino acid; and 'wobble' base-pairing, i.e. permitting non-standard base-pairing at the 3rd anti-codon position. The record is from Rfam by way of RNAcentral. Lineage: Eukaryota; Metazoa; Chordata; Mammalia; Rodentia; Sciuridae.
AGGGUUGUGGCUCAGCAGUAGAGUGCUUACCUGGCAUGUAUGAGGCACUGGGUUCGAUUCUCAGCAUCACAU